This 1466-nucleotide ribosomal RNA is filed under the name uncultured Bordetella sp. Its description in RNAcentral is "partial 16S-23S ribosomal RNA intergenic spacer". It matches the Rfam family "Bacterial small subunit ribosomal RNA". The record is from RNAcentral. Lineage: Bacteria; Pseudomonadati; Pseudomonadota; Betaproteobacteria; Burkholderiales; Alcaligenaceae.
GGUUCGAUCAUGGCUCAGAUUGAACGCUGGCGGGAUGCUUUUUACACAUGCAAGUCGAACGGCAGCACGACUGGCUGGUGGCGAGUGGCGAACGGGUGAGUAAUGCGGUUUUCCGAACGUGCCUAGUAGCGGGGGAUAACUACGCGAAAGCGUAGCCAAUACCGCAUACGUUCGGGGAAAGCGGGGGGACCUUCGGGCCUGCACCGGUUUAGGAGCGGCCGAUAUCGGAUUAGCUAGUUGGUGGUGGGGUAACGGCUCACUAAGGCGACGAUCCGUAGCUGGUUUGAGAGGAUGAUCAGCCACACUGGGACUGAGACACGGCCCAGACUCCUACGGGAGGCAGCAGCGGGGGAAUUUGGACAAUGGGGGAAACCCUGAUCUGCCGCAUCCCGCGUGUGCGAUGAAGGCCUUCGGGUAAAGCACUUUUGGCAGGAAAGAAACGGCACGGAUAAUACCCCGUGCAACUGACGGUACCUGCAGAAUAAGCACCGGCUAACUACGUCAGCAGCCGCGGGGUAAUACGUGGUGGGUGCAAGCGCAAUCGGAAUUACUGGGCGUAAAAGCGUGCGCAGGCGGUUCGGAAAGAAAGAUGUGAAAUCCCAGAGCUUAACUUGGAACUGUAUUUUAACUGUCAGCCAGAGUGUGUCAGAGGGAGGUGGAAUUCCGCGUGUAGCAGUGAAAUGCGCAGAUAUGCGGAGGAACACCGAUGGCGAAGGCAGCCUCCUGGGAUAACACUGACGCCUAUGCACGAAAGUGGAGCAAAACAGGAUUAGAUACCCUGGUAGUCCACGCCUCAAACGAUGUCAACUAGCUGUUGGGGCCUUCGGGCCUUGGUAGCGCUAACGCGUGAAGUUGACCGCCUGGGGACAUGGUCGCAAGAUUAAAACUCAAAGGAAUUGACGGGGACCCGCACAAGCGGUGGAUGAUGUAGAUUAAUUCGAUGCAACGCGAAAACCUUACCUACCCUUGACAUGUCUGGAAUCCCGAAUAGCUGCAAGAGAACUGGAACACAGGUGCUGCAUGGCUGUCGUCAGCUCGUGUCGUGAGAUGCUGGGUUAAGUCCCGCAAUGAGCGCAACCCUUGUCAUUAGUUGCUGCUGAAAGGGCACUCUAAUGAGACUGCCGGUGACAAACCGAGGGAAGGUGGGGAUGACGUCAAGUCCUCAUGCAGCCUCCGCGGGUAGGCUUCACACGCUCGCGCAAUGGUCGGGACAGAGGGUCGCCAACCCGCAGGUGGAGCUCAAUCACAGAAACCCGACGUAGUCCGGAUCGCAGUCUUGCAACUCGACUUCAGGUGAAGUCGGAAUCGCUAGUAAUCGCGGAUCAGCAUACCGUGGUGAAUACGUUCCCGUCUUGUACACACCGCCUGUCACACCAUGGGAGUGGGUUUUACCAGAAGUAGUUAGCCUAACCGUAAGGAGGGCGAUUACCACGGUAGGAUUCAUGACUGGGGUGAAGUCGUAACAA